Molecule: ribosomal RNA, 497 nt
Filed under: uncultured bacterium
Lineage: Bacteria
Description: partial 16S ribosomal RNA
Rfam family: Bacterial small subunit ribosomal RNA
Source: RNAcentral
GACGAACGCUGGCGGCGUGCCUAAUACAUGCAAGUAGAACGCUGAAGAGAGGAGCUUGCUCUUCUUGGAUGAGUUGCGCACGGGUGAGUAACGCGUAGGUAACCUGCCUUGUAGCGGGGGAUAACUAUUGGAAACGAUAGCUAAUACCGCAUAACAAUGGAUGACACAUGUCAUUUAUUUGAAAGGGGCAAUUGCUCCACUACAAGAUGGACCUGCGUUGUAUUAGCUAGUAGGUGAGGUAAUGGCUCACCUAGGCGACGAUACAUAGCCGACCUGAGAGGGUGAUCGGCCACACUGGGACUGAGACACGGCCCAGAGUCCUACGGGAGGCAGCAGUAGGGAAUCUUCGGCAAUGGGGGCAACCCUGACCGAGCAACGCCGCGUGAGUGAAGAAGGUUGUCGGAUCGUAAAGCUCUGUUGUAAGUCAAGAACGGGUGUGAGAGUGGAAAGUUCACACUGUGACGGUAGCUUACCAGAAAGGGACGGCUAACUACGUG